This 233-nucleotide ribosomal RNA is filed under the name uncultured bacterium. Its description in RNAcentral is "partial 16S ribosomal RNA". It matches the Rfam family "Bacterial small subunit ribosomal RNA", at positions 524 to 755 of the family's 1533-position model. The record is from RNAcentral.
UACAGAGGGGGCAAGCGUUAUUCGGAAUUAUUGGGCGUAAAGGGCGCGUAGGCGGUUUUUUAAGUUCGGAUGUGUAAUCCCCGGGCUUAACCUGGGAACUGCAUCCGAGACUGGAAGACUAGAGUACUGGAGAGGGUGGUGGAAUUCCUCGUGUAGCGGUGAAAUGCGUAGAGAUGAGGAGGAACACCAGUGGCGAAGGCGGCCACCUGGACAGUAACUGACGCUGAGGCGCG